Molecule: ribosomal RNA, 919 nt
Filed under: uncultured archaeon
Lineage: Archaea
Description: bacterial SSU rRNA
Rfam family: Archaeal small subunit ribosomal RNA
Source: RNAcentral
UUCCGGUUGAUCCUGCCGGAAGCCAUUGCUAUCGGGGUCCGAUUUAGCCAUGCUAGUCGUACGAGUUCAUACUCGUGGCGGAAAGCUCAGUAACACGUGGUCAAGCUACCCUGUGGACCAGAAUAACCCCGGGAAACUGGGGCUAAUCCUGGAUAAGGCUCCUGCUCUGGAAAGAGCGGAGCUGGAAACGCUCCGGCGCCACAGGAUGCGGCUGCGGCCGAUUAGGUAGACGGUGGGGUAACGGCCCACCGUGCCAAUAAUCGGUACGGGUUGUGAGAGCAAGAGCCCGGAGAUGGAAUCUGAGACAAGAUUCCAGGCCCUACGGGGCGCAGCAGGCGCGAAACCUUUACACUGUACGGAAGUGCGAUAAGGGGACCCCGAGUGCGAGGGCAUACAGUCCUCGCUUUUGUACACCGUAAGGAGGUGUACGAAUAAGAGCUGGGCAAGACCGGUGCCAGCCGCCGCGGUAAUACCGGCAGCUCAAGUGAUGGCCGCUAUUAUUGGGCCUAAAGCGUCCGUAGCCUGCCGGACAAGUCUGUUGGGAAAUCCGUUCGCUUAACGAACGGGCGUCCAGCGGAAACUGUCCGGCUUGGGACCGGAAGACCCGAGGGGUACGUCCGGGGUAGGAGUGAAAUCCUGUAAUCCUGGACGGACCGCCGGUGGCGAAAGCGCCUCUGGAGGACGGACCCGACGGUGAGGGACGAAAGCUAGGGUCUCGAACCGGAUUAGAUACCCGGGUAGUCCUAGCCGUAAACGAUGCUCGCUAGGUGUGGCACAGGCUACGAGCCUGUGCUGUGCCGUAGGGAAGCCGUGAAGCGAGCCGCCUGGGAAGUACGUCCGCAAGGAUGAAACUUAAAGGAAUUGGCGGGGGAGCACUACAACCGGAGGAGCCCGCGGUUUAAUUGGAUUCAACGCCGGA